UGGCUGUACCAGCUUGUUAAAAGCCUGAUCUCAUCUGAUGUCAGAAGCUAAACAGGUCAGGUCUGGUUAGUACUUGGAUGUGAAACUGGUGAGAAUACCAGGUGCAAAAUCGG
Molecule: ribosomal RNA, 113 nt
Filed under: Periophthalmus magnuspinnatus
Lineage: Eukaryota; Metazoa; Chordata; Actinopteri; Gobiiformes; Gobiidae
Source: RNAcentral